CCUACGGGGGGCAGCAGUGGGGAAUAUUGGACAAUGGGCGAAAGCCUGAUCCAGCCAUGCCGCGUGUGUGAAGAAGGCCUUCGGGUUGUAAAGCACUUUCAGUGGGGAAGAAAGCCUUGGGGCUAAUACCCUCGAGGAAGGACAUCACCCACAGAAGAAGCACCGGCUAACUCCGUGCCACCAGCCGCGGUAAUACGGAGGGUGCGAGCGUUAAUCGGAAUUACUGGGCGUAAAGCGCGCGUAGGCGGUCUGAUAAGCCGGUUGUGAAAGCCCCGGGCUCAACCUGGGAACGGCAUCCGGAACUGUCAGGCUAGAGUGCAGGAGAGGAAGGUAGAAUUCCCGGUGUAGCGGUGAAAUGCGUAGAGAUCGGGAGGAAUACCAGUGGAGAAGGCGGCCUUCUGGACUGACACUGACGCUGAGGUGCGAAAGCGUGGGUAGCAAACAGGAUUAGAUACCCGUGUAGUC
Molecule: ribosomal RNA, 465 nt
Filed under: Vreelandella stevensii
Lineage: Bacteria; Pseudomonadati; Pseudomonadota; Gammaproteobacteria; Oceanospirillales; Halomonadaceae
Description: partial 16S ribosomal RNA
Rfam family: Bacterial small subunit ribosomal RNA
Source: RNAcentral